RNA transcript from Homo sapiens (human), 2316 nucleotides. It is a transcript of the gene named ABCF2-H2BK1 readthrough, with no coding region annotated. The transcript has 17 exons. NCBI's taxonomy places the organism in Eukaryota, Metazoa, Chordata, Mammalia, Primates, Hominidae. The record is from RefSeq and is marked reviewed.
AAGGAGCAGCUCUGUUGCGACAUAGGCCGAGCAGCGAGGCCCAGCUCCCUGAAACAACAGUAACCUACCCCUGUGGGUCAUCAUCAUGCCCUCCGACCUGGCCAAGAAGAAGGCAGCCAAAAAGAAGGAGGCUGCCAAAGCUCGACAGCGGCCCAGAAAAGGACAUGAAGAAAAUGGAGAUGUUGUCACAGAACCACAGGUGGCAGAGAAGAAUGAGGCCAAUGGCAGAGAGACCACAGAAGUAGAUUUGCUGACCAAGGAGCUAGAGGACUUUGAGAUGAAGAAAGCUGCUGCUCGAGCUGUCACUGGCGUCCUGGCCUCUCACCCCAACAGUACUGAUGUUCACAUCAUCAACCUCUCACUUACCUUUCAUGGUCAAGAGCUGCUCAGUGACACCAAACUGGAAUUAAACUCAGGCCGUCGUUAUGGCCUCAUUGGUUUAAAUGGAAUUGGAAAGUCCAUGCUGCUCUCUGCUAUUGGGAAGCGUGAAGUGCCCAUCCCUGAGCACAUCGACAUCUACCAUCUGACUCGAGAGAUGCCCCCUAGUGACAAGACACCCUUGCAUUGUGUGAUGGAAGUCGACACAGAGCGGGCCAUGCUGGAGAAAGAGGCAGAGCGGCUGGCUCAUGAGGAUGCGGAGUGUGAGAAGCUCAUGGAGCUCUACGAGCGCCUGGAGGAGCUGGAUGCCGACAAGGCAGAGAUGAGGGCCUCGCGGAUCUUGCAUGGACUGGGUUUCACACCUGCCAUGCAGCGCAAGAAGCUAAAAGACUUCAGUGGGGGCUGGAGGAUGAGGGUUGCCCUUGCCAGAGCCCUCUUUAUUCGGCCCUUCAUGCUGCUCCUGGAUGAGCCUACCAACCACCUGGACCUAGAUGCUUGCGUGUGGUUGGAAGAAGAACUAAAAACUUUUAAGCGCAUCUUGGUCCUCGUCUCCCAUUCCCAGGAUUUUCUGAAUGGUGUCUGUACCAAUAUCAUUCACAUGCACAACAAGAAACUGAAGUAUUAUACGGGUAAUUAUGAUCAGUACGUGAAGACGCGGCUAGAGCUGGAGGAGAACCAGAUGAAGAGGUUUCACUGGGAGCAAGAUCAGAUUGCACACAUGAAGAACUACAUUGCGAGGUUUGGUCAUGGCAGUGCCAAGCUGGCCCGGCAGGCCCAGAGCAAGGAGAAGACGCUACAGAAAAUGAUGGCAUCAGGACUGACAGAGAGGGUCGUGAGCGAUAAGACACUGUCAUUUUAUUUCCCACCAUGUGGCAAGAUCCCUCCACCUGUCAUUAUGGUGCAAAAUGUGAGCUUCAAGUAUACAAAAGAUGGGCCUUGCAUCUACAAUAAUCUAGAAUUUGGAAUUGACCUUGACACACGAGUGGCUCUGGUAGGGCCCAAUGGAGCAGGGAAGUCAACUCUUCUGAAGCUGCUAACUGGAGAGCUACUACCCACAGAUGGCAUGAUCCGAAAACACUCUCAUGUCAAGAUAGGGCGUUACCAUCAGCAUUUACAAGAGCAGCUGGACUUAGAUCUCUCACCUUUGGAGUACAUGAUGAAGUGCUACCCAGAGAUCAAGGAGAAGGAAGAAAUGAGGAAGAUCAUUGGGCGAUACGGUCUCACUGGGAAACAACAGGUGAGCCCAAUCCGGAACUUGUCAGACGGGCAGAAGUGCCGAGUGUGUCUGGCCUGGCUGGCCUGGCAGAACCCCCACAUGCUCUUCCUGGAUGAACCCACCAAUCACCUGGAUAUCGAGACCAUCGACGCCCUGGCAGAUGCCAUCAAUGAGUUUGAGGGUGGUAUGAUGCUGGUCAGCCAUGACUUCAGACUCAUUCAGCAGGUUGCACAGGAAAUUUGGGUCUGUGAGAAGCAGACAAUCACCAAGUGGCCUGGAGACAUCCUGGCUUACAAGGAGCACCUCAAGUCCAAGCUGGUGGAUGAGGAGCCCCAGCUCACCAAGAGGACCCACAACGUGUGCUAAGUGAGACAAUUGACUUUCUCCAUUUUGCAAUGGGCUUUUCUUCCCUUUACUGCUAACUCCCAAGACCGCCACGUCUGCUUUUCUGGUGCACCCUGACAUUGGCAUCUCUGCCAAGGCCAUGAGCAUCAUGAACUCGUUUGUAAACGACGUGUUUGAGCAGCUGGCGUGUGAGGCUGCCCGGCUGGCCCAGUACUCGGGCCGGACCACCCUGACAUCCCGAGAAGUCCAGACGGCUGUGCGUCUGCUGCUGCCUGGGGAGCUGGCCAAGCACGCUGUGUCUGAGGGCACCAAGGCUGUCACCAAGUACACCAGCUCCAAGUGACCCAGGGCCUGACAAAAAUAAAGGGUGAACUGUU